UAUUGGACAAUGGGCGAAAGCCGGAUCCAGCCAUGCCGCGUGUGUGAAGAUUGUCUUUAGUUUAAAAAUCCCUUUAUUUUGAGACGAAGGGCUGUAUGUUAACAUCUUGCUUUUUUUUCUAUCCCGACAGAAUCAGCACCUGUAAACUCUGUUACAGCAGACGCGGUAAUACGAAGGGUGCAAGCGUUAAUUGGAAUUACUGGGCGUAAAGCGCGCGUAGGUGGUUUGUUAAGUUGGAAGUGAAAGGCCCGGGCUCAACCUGGGAACUGCUUUCAAAACUGGCAAGCUAGAGUAUGGCAGAGGGUGGUGGAAUUUCCUGUGUAGCGGUGAAAUGCGUAGAUAUAGGAAGGAACACCAGUGGCGAAGGCGACCACCUGGGCUAAUACUGACACUGAGGUGCGAAAGCGUGGGGAGCAAACA
RNAcentral lists this ribosomal RNA (420 nucleotides) under uncultured bacterium. RNAcentral's name for it is "partial 16S ribosomal RNA". It matches the Rfam family "Bacterial small subunit ribosomal RNA", at positions 362 to 774 of the family's 1533-position model. The record is from RNAcentral.